GUUUUCGAAGGGCAAAACAUGGACCAAGAUGGCGUCGUUGUGAAGCGGGAUUGUUUAAUUGUGGAGUUUGUCUGAAUGUAAUGCAUGGACAUGAUGGACAUGAUGGAUGCACUCAGGGUUAUUCAGAAUAACUUCAGUUUCCAUUGACAGCAAACUGAAGUUAUUCCACCAUCAGCAUGAGGAGACCUUGAGCUGGUGGCAUGGAACCACUGCCAGGAGCCGAGUGGACCCCUGUUAUGAGAAUCUAUCGUCUGAGGCUGCAGCAAUAUCCUUCGAUUCAAGGAUUGUACCUGAAACAAUACAAGAUCACCGGUAAAGUGCAACCAGUGGAACGGAAGAAGAAUUCCUCACUACCUGUAAAGGGUGCGUAACUGGUGGCAUGGAAGUCAGACGCAGGAGAGCAGAACUGGGUAAUAACCGGAGCAGUUAAA
Salvelinus sp. IW2-2015 is the source of this 431-nucleotide long non-coding RNA. RefSeq lists it as uncharacterized. The record is from RefSeq and is a predicted model, not a curated record. Lineage: Eukaryota; Metazoa; Chordata; Actinopteri; Salmoniformes; Salmonidae.